RNA transcript from Mus musculus (house mouse), 1980 nucleotides. It is a transcript of the gene named C-type lectin domain family 4, member g, with no coding region annotated. The record is from RefSeq and is marked validated. Lineage: Eukaryota; Metazoa; Chordata; Mammalia; Rodentia; Muridae. The transcript has 10 exons.
GUGGAGACUUAAAUUUAUAUCUCUGUCCAGGGCUGGACGCCACCACCACCAUGAACACUGGUGAAUACAACAAGCUGGGCAGUGCAAUUGAAGAGGUCUCCAGAGGGCAAUUGGGACGUUGGGAGUGCUACAAACAAAGACUUUUCUUCCUGGUCUUGGCUCUGCUGGUGGCCACAGUUCUAUGGGCUCUCAUUCUGAGCACCCUACUGUCCAGUGCCUCCAGCAAGCUCAGGGUGCUGCUCAGCCACCAGGACCUGCUGAGGACAAAUGCCUCAGAGCAGAAGAUGACGUUGAGUUCCCUGAAGGAUGAUAUCGGAGCCUGCAGGAAUUGCUGCUCCGUGACAAAAGCGCAGUUGCAAACCACACUGGCGGAGUUUAAGGACAUACAAGCAAAGUUGAUGGAGCAGGAGAGCAUCCUGAAAGAACUGCAAGAGCGUGUGACCCAGGACUUGGCUAAAGCAAGCAGAGACCGUGAGAACAUCCGCAGUGAGCUGUUCCAGGCACUGGAAGCUGUCAAGCGCCAGAACAGCUCCUGUGAGCAGUGCCCACCAUCAUGGCUACCCUUCCAAGGUUCCUGCUACUAUUUCUCUGAGACACAGGCCACAUGGGAUACAGCACAAAGCUACUGUGGAGGCCAGGGUGCCCAUCUGGUGAUUGUCAGAGGCCUGAACGAGCAGGGCUUCCUGAGUCAGCACACACGUGGCCGGGGCUAUUGGUUGGGUCUGAGGGCAGUUCGCCACCUCAACAAGAUUCAAGGCUACCGGUGGGUAGAUGGAGCCUCACUCAACUUCAGGAGGGCCUGGGGGAGAUGGCCCAGCUCUGCAAGCAAGAGAACCUGACUCUGAAUUCCCAGAACCCACGUAAGAACCGAAUGGACAUGCAGCCUGCCUAUAGCUCCAGCCUGGGAAGACGGUCAGGAAAUCCCUGCAGCAAGCAGGCUUGUGAGACUACAGUGUAGGAGAGACUUCCUGGAAAGUCAAGAAAUAGCUUCCUAAGAAAUGAUUCCACAGCGGCUCCCCAGAGGGCCAUAUGAACACCUUAUCUGCAGCUGAGUUAGUGAAUCCUAGAGCCCCUGGAAGCCAGAUGGGGCUUCCUGCAUGUACCAACCUGGCCGUCACAACACUCUCCCUGGAAAUGGCCUUGAGAUAGGACAAAGCAACCGAUCCCAGGAAACCCCCUUGCAUCCCAGCUUCUUCUUCCCAGGAAGCACAUGGGGAAGCCCCCAGGGGUCCGAACAGGCAGACUGGCGUCUCUCCUCAAGCUCUUGGUAGCAUUUUCCCUGAUCAGAUUCAUCCCUCCGUCCCCACACAGCCCAGACUCUUGCCACUCAGGAGCCCUAGCAUAGAUAUCUCUGAUUUGCAGGAGCUGAGAGAAAGCUGGAAAUUAGAAACCUGUGCUGGCCGCUGGCUGUGUGCAUGUAGCCGCUGGCUGUGUGCGUGUAGAUGCAGGGCUUCCCCUCUCGGGGGUUCUUUUCUCAUAUUUACCCAGUGAGUAUAAGAAUAGUAUUUACCUCCCCAGUAUGAACUAAAGGAUACCUCUACUUCCUACGCCCUGUAAGUGCUACCACAUAAAAGACAUGCUACAGACCCGUUAGCACUCCCUAAGUAUCGGUAGGCAUCGUAACUGUUGCUGGGAGAGGAACUGGUGGGGCCCUGCUCCUUCCUAGGAUCCAUGGGCAGUCCAUGUUGUCUCAAGGAGAGCCACUUUCUUUAGUGGUGUGGCCAUCAAUAAGAUGUCCACACCCCUGGAGAUAACCCUCAUCUAUGCUCUUGUCGGAACCCACUGAAACUCACUGGAUCACUGAAAAAGAUGUGAAAGUAGAUGUGGCAAGAGGAAGGGGGUGAGAGGGAGCAGGAGAGAAACCAGAGGGCAGUGGAGUGAUUGUGAUAUAAAUACAUUAUAUACACUAUGAAAAUUCCAUAAUAAAACCCACUGUUAUAUAAAAGCAGCAGAUACUAAUAAAAGCCUUUUAAAGACCUG